GGGUUAUAGCUCAGUGGCAGAGCAUUCGUCUGCAGAUCGAGAGGUCCCCACUACAAAUCUGGGUGCACCCU
This 71-nucleotide transfer RNA is filed under the name Trichuris muris. Its description in RNAcentral is "snRNA TMUE_0100000446". It matches the Rfam family "tRNA". From Rfam's summary of the family: Transfer RNA (tRNA) molecules are approximately 80 nucleotides in length. Their secondary structure includes four short double-helical elements and three loops (D, anti-codon, and T loops). Lineage: Eukaryota; Metazoa; Nematoda; Enoplea; Trichinellida; Trichuridae. The record is from RNAcentral.